AUGGCGUUCCGACGCCCUCUCGCUCUCCACCCGCUCGUGAUCGCCUUCGUGCUGGUCUCCUGUCUCGCGGGCGCCGCCACGGCGAAGCAGACGGGCCAGCUGACCGUGUUCUGGGGCCGGAACGCCGGCGAGGGCACGCUGCGCGAGGCCUGCGACACGGGGCUCUACUCCACCGUCGUCAUCUCCUUCUACAGCGUCUUCGGGCACGGCCGCUACUGGGGCGACCUCUCCGGCCACCCUCUCGCCGGCGUCGGUGCCGACAUCAAGCACUGCCAGUCCAGGAACAUCCUCGUUCUCCUCUCCAUCGGCGGGCCCAGGAACGGCUACUCCCUCCCGUCCUCGGCCUCCGCCACCGCCGUCGCCGACAACCUCUGGAACGCGCACCUCGGCGGGCGCCGGAACGGCGUGUACCGCCCGUUCGGCGACGCCGCUGUCGACGGCAUCGACUUCUACAUCGACCAGGGCGCCCCCGACCACUACGACGAGCUGGCCAGCCGCCUUGACGGGCACAACCGCCGGAAGGGUGUGCGCCUGACGGCGACGCCGCGGUGCGGGUUGCCCGACCCCCGCCUGGGGGCGGCGCUCCGGACGGGGCUGUUCGAGCGCAUCCACGUCAGGUUCUACGGCAACGACUCAUGCUCGCUGGGGAAGGGCGGGACGUACGGCGUGGUAGAGCAGUGGGAGAAGUGGACGGCGGCGUUCCCGAGGACGCUGGUGUACCUGGGCCUCGCGCCGGCGGAGAGCGGCGUGCCGGAGGGGGCGCAGGGCACCGUCGCCGUUUACCUCAAGUACCUCUACUACGACCUGCUGCCCAAGAAGGCGAACAACUAUGGCGGGGUCAUGGUCUGGGACAGGUUCACCGACAAGAAGACACGCUGGAGCAGCGUCGUCAGUGGAUGGGCCUGA
This 906-nucleotide ribosomal RNA is filed under the name Triticum aestivum (bread wheat). RNAcentral describes it as "partial small subunit ribosomal RNA". The record is from RNAcentral. Lineage: Eukaryota; Viridiplantae; Streptophyta; Magnoliopsida; Poales; Poaceae.